CUGAAAUUCGCCUUCAUGAAGCCGGAAUUGCUAGUAAUGGCAGGUCAGCAUACUGCCGUGAAUACGUUCCCGGGCCUUGUACACACCGCCCGUCACACCAUGAGAGUUGGGAAUACCCGAAGCCUGUGAGCUAACGUAAGAGGCAGCAGUCGAAGGUAGAAUCAAUGAUUGGGGUGAAGUCGUAACAAGGUACC
Molecule: ribosomal RNA, 194 nt
Filed under: uncultured bacterium
Lineage: Bacteria
Description: partial 16S ribosomal RNA
Rfam family: Bacterial small subunit ribosomal RNA
Source: RNAcentral